Molecule: RNA transcript, 12252 nt
Organism: Vanessa tameamea
Lineage: Eukaryota; Metazoa; Arthropoda; Insecta; Lepidoptera; Nymphalidae
Gene: stan
Gene name: protocadherin-like wing polarity protein stan
Exons: 56
Source: RefSeq, a predicted model, not a curated record
UCAGAUAUAUAGCAGCUUCAUAUCCUGAACAUCAAAUUUAAGAUGGAGACGAGUACGAAGUAAAGAAGGAAAAUUAAACUUAAGCAUCAAAUAAAGAUGGAUAAUCCGAGCUUACGGCGAACGAGGCGGCGCUGCUGUAGGUGAACAGAAAACAGCAUGGCGCGGUGGGCGCACGCGGUGCUGAUCGCGCUGGCGCUGUCAGCCGCGCGCGCCUACCUCAUCAUCAUCCCCGACACCGCUCCGCCGGGCCAUGUCGUCGUUGACGCAGCUGUAUACAAGCUCGGCUCCGAACGCGCAUACAACAUUGACGUGCAUCGUACCGCUAACUUUGUACACCACAUCCUACGAGUCAAUAGAACUAGCGGUCUCGUGACGUUGCGUAAAAGGCUGAGAUGUGAUGGCGUCCUUUACCCCAACCUUUUUACAUUUUAUGUGGAUUCUACCUCCGAACGCAUUCGAGACAUCGACUAUUACAGUUUACCGAUUAGAAUAUUGGUGGCCGGGGAGGAUUGCAGCAGGCGGCACGCUGAUUUGUACGAUAUCGAUUUCGAUCGCGUAUAUGAUCAAAAUGACGCUGCCAUUCAGUAUGAAGAUGACCAUAUCAGAGAGAAGAGAGAUGUCAUCUACCAAGAGAGUAUAGACUGGAGGUUGUUAGAGGAAAGCGAGUUAGGGGCUAGUCAAUAUAGUGUAUUGUCAACAGCGUAUCCGUGGUCGAACGCGAUGUUCGAGGACUUUACGGUUACGAAUAAAAGUAGAAAAAAGCGAUCUCCUUUAGUACCUUUCGAUAUGGCCAUAGAUGUAAAAAUAGCUGAAGCUAAACAAUGGAUUUCCGAAACGUAUGCCAGUUUUGCAAUACCAACGACGGACCGAUGGCAGGGGAUUUGUUUAAAGAAGUCGCAAUUCGUAAAUUCGUUGACGGCAUUUUUGCCGAGAACAGUACAAAAAAUGUGUAGAGUGCAAUUUUUGGAUGUAAGUGAUCCACGUUUUAUUAUAGAGAACAGCCAAGGAGACUUGGUGGCCAGCAGCGACGUGUGUAUUCAAGAACCAAUGUGGAAAGUUUCCGUGCUCUUCACAUUUGAUUGUGAACGAACUAAUAUUGUCGAUUCAGAUCACAGAUUGAAAAUAGUGUAUCACCAUCAGGAACUUAACGAUACGGAUAUAGCGAGAAGGGUUAAAAGGGAACUGCGUAAUCAGUCACCAUAUUUUGAGCAAGCAUUGUACGUGGCGUCUGUUGCUGAGGAGCAGCCACCAGGAGUUAUAGUCACGACAGUUAGAGCACGUGAUCCAGAAAACAGUCCCGUCACGUAUUCCAUGUCAAGCCUCCUGGACUCCCGAUCAGCUGGUAUGUUCGCCGUGGACACGAGGACGGGCGUAGUCACCACACAAGCCCGAUUGGAUAGAGAGAGACUUGAUGUCCAUUACUUCAGAGUCGUAGCUCAGGAUGACACGUUCCCACCGAGAAGUGGUACCACAACACUUCAGAUAAACGUGUUGGACUGCAACGACCAUUCGCCGAUAUUUGAAAUGCAACAAUAUGAAGCGUCAGUCAGAGAAGGCGCAAGCCCUGGAACCACCGUCUUAACCCUUAAAGCGACUGAUCAGGACAUUGGAAAGAACGCUGAGGUGGAAUAUUCAAUCGAUUCAGUUAAAGCGGAAAGCUUGAAGCAAGAAGAUUUUAACGAGUCUAUAGAUAGCACAGAACAUGUGGACGCACACGAUGUUUUUAGAGUCGACGGCAGAAGUGGUGCGCUGCUGACUCGAUCCACGCUGGACAGAGAGAAGGUGUCCCGGUAUACCGUCAUCGUGAAGGCUACAGAUCAAGCCAGCCCACUCUCAGAUAGAUUAUCCAGCAGUGCUACAAUCCAUGUCAACAUUCUGGAUGAUAACGACAACUAUCCUCAGUUCAGCGAGAAGACGUAUACCGUGAAUGUAGAUGAAGAUAUUAGUGUCGCUGACAAUCCUGUAAUUGCCAGAAUAAAAGCUACAGAUUCAGAUGUGGGUUCAAACGCGGCCAUCCGAUAUGCGAUCAUCGGUGGCAAUACACAAAUGCAGUUCUCGAUCGACAGCCUCAGUGGGGACGUGUCAUUGGUUAAAUCUCUCGACUAUGAACAAGUACGCAGCUACCGAUUGGUCAUCAGAGCCCAAGAUGGUGGUAGUCCGUCCCGGUCGAACACAACACAAUUGCUUGUGAACGUCAAAGACAUAAACGAUAAUUCACCACGUUUCUACACCUCACUGUUCCAAGAAUCUGUGAGCGAAAAUGUACCAGUUGGAUACAGUAUUGUUAGGGUACAAGCAUAUGACGCAGACGAAGGUGUAAAUGCUGAACUAACAUACACCCUGGCAGACAAAGAGUACAACGGCAACAAUGAUUUGCCAAUCACGAUUGAUCCUCGAUCCGGUUGGGUGUAUACUUCGACGCAGUUGGACAGGGAAAUUCAAUCAAAAUAUCAACUUCAGGUUACAGCCACGGAUAGCGGUUCACCGCCUCGGUCAGCGACGGCCUCAGUAGUGGUCGUGAUACAAGAUGUGAACGACAAUGAUCCGGUGUUCUCUCCACCACAAUAUGAAGUAGAAUUAGCGGAGGACGAACCCCCAGGAACUCCUGUAGUCACUGUCACUGCAACAGAUGCUGAUGAGGAUAACAGAUUACACUACGAAAUCACUGGUGGUAAUACUCGAGGCCGUUUUUCUAUCACGUCACAAAACGGUCGCGGACUCAUAACCGUCGCUCAGCCUUUAGACUUUAAGCAAGAACGGCGAUAUGUGCUCACAGUGACCGCCACGGAUUCUGGAGGCAGAUCUGACACGGCCAUGGUCCAUAUUAAUAUUACAGAUGCGAAUAACUACGCUCCAGUUUUUGAAAAUGCGCCCUAUACAGCUUCAGUCUUCGAAGACGCGCCAGUAGGAACGACAGUGCUAGUCGUUUCUGCCACUGACAGUGACGUUGGGGUGAAUGCACAAAUAACAUACACCCUCAGUUCGGAAAUAUCAAACGAAGCUGUUGCACAUCAUGAACAGGAAUUUCACAUUAAUCCGCAAACAGGCGCCAUUACCACUAAUAAACUACUUGAUCGAGAGACUAUGAGUGGCUACCUGCUGACUGUGACGGCUCGCGAUGGAGGAGUUCCGUCACUCUCUGAUACGACAGACGUGGAGAUCUCUGUCGUUGACGUCAACGACAACGAACCGGUGUUCAAACAGCAGCUCUACACUGCAAGUAUUAUGGAAGAUGCUUUAGUUGGUACAUCCGUAACUCAAGUCAGCGCAACGGACGCCGACGUAGGGCUAAAUGGCAGAGUACAUUACGAACUGGAGUCUAAGGAUAGAGAGGAAGGGUCGUUUGUAAUUGACCCAGCGUCUGGAGUUUUAAGGACGAAUAAGGCUUUAGACAGAGAAUCAGUAGCAAUAUAUGAUCUAAAGGCUUUAGCGAUAGACGGCGGAACUCCUCCACAAAGUUCUACUGUAAUAAUCCAUAUAAAAGUUGAAGACAUCAACGAUUCGCCGCCGGUUUUCGAAAGUGACUGCCUAACAUUCUACGUGCCUGAAAAUAGCCCCAUCGGUACUACUAUUGGGGAAAUACACGCUCAUGAUCCAGACGAGGGUUCCAAUGCAGUUGUACAUUAUUCCAUAAAAGGUGGAGAUGAUUCGAAUAGUUUUUCAUUAGAAACUCGUCAAGGUUCUGACAAAGCAGAAUUGGUUACAAUGGUAGAUUUAGACUACGAAAGCCCUCGAAAAAAGUACGAGCUAGUAAUCAGAGCUGCGAGUCCACCGCUCUGGAAUGACGUCAGAGUGGAAAUCCUAGUAACUGAUAUAAAUGACAAUGCUCCUAUGAUGAAGGAUUUUCAGAUUAUUUUCAAUAAUUAUAAAGACUGUUUUCCCGUCGGCCCAUUUGGUAGAGUUCCAGCGUAUGAUGCGGAUGUGACUGACAAGCUCCAAUAUCGUAUUUUAUCGGGCAACAAUGCGAAUUUGGUACUUCUCAACGAGACAACGGGGUCUAUGACUUUAUCACCCCAACUAAAUACAAACGUUCCAAAACUAGCCACUAUGGAAAUAUCUGUAACAGAUGGGGUAAAUGAAGUAAAAGCGGUUAUGCAGCUGCUAGUGAGGCUGAUAACAGAAGAAAUGCUUUUCAAUUCAAUAACAGUUCGAUUGAACGACAUGACCGCGGAACAGUUUUUAUCGCCUUUACUCGGCUUCUUUAUAGAUGGUCUCUCAGCUAUCAUACCGUGUCCGAAAGAAAACAUUUAUAUAUUCAGUGUUCAGGAUGACACCGACGUAACGGGCAACAUUUUGAACGUAUCGUUCUCAGCGCGUCGGCCCGACGCAGAGGUGGGCAUCGGGGGAGACUCGUCCCAGUAUUACUCGCCUACGCACUUACGCGAGCGAGUGUACUUGCAUCGCGCGACACUGGCGCGUCUUGCUACUGUACAGGUUCUCCCAUUCGACGACAACAUUUGUGUACACGAACCAUGCCUCAACUACGAGGAGUGCCUCACAGUGUUAAAGUUCGGGAACGCAUCCGGUUUUAUUCACAGCGAUUCAGUGCUGUUCCGUCCCAUCUACCCCGUCACUACGUUUACUUGCCAGUGUCCGCAGGGAUUUACGGGGUCCCGCGAGCACUACAUGUGCGACACGGAGGUGGACCUGUGCUACUCGUCGCCGUGCCGGAACAACGGCUCGUGCGUGCGGCGCGAGGGCGGCUACAGCUGCGUGUGCGUCGCCGGCUACACCGGUGUAAACUGCGAGACCGUUCUAAGGAAGGCGACGUGUGACAUGAACGGCGAUGGCAGCAUAUGUCGCAGCGGAUCGCAGUGUGUCGCGAGACGAGAGGGGGGGAUCCUCUGCCAGGGUUGUUCUAUUGAUACUGCGUACACCACCGCCAUGUGCGAACUUAAGGCCCGAAGUUUUCCAGCUACCUCGUUUUUGACAUUCCCAGGGAUUAAGAAACGACAUCGUUUCAAUUUGAAAUUAAAAUUCGCAACUCAAACAACAUCCGGCUUGCUCCUUUACAACGGUAGAUACAACGAGCGGCACGACUUCGUAGCGCUUGAAGUCAUCAGUUCCGACGCCGGCCGGAGUGGAGGGCCGGGAUUGAGGUUUACUUUCGCGCUGGGAGGAGCGAAGACAGAAGUGACGGUGGAGGGUGACGUCGCUGACGGCAUGUGGCAUACGGUUGAAAUUGAAUACUUUAAUCGGACUGCAACAAUGAUCUUAGACGAUUGUGAUAAAACGCUAUCACUAGCGGGUGGCGCUGACUUUGGCGUGAAGUACGCCUGCGCGAACUUUACGAGAAAAGUAUUGCCACCACGCUGUGACAUCCCAACAGAAACUUGCCAUAGAUUGUUAUUUUUAAAUAGGUUCCUCGACCUCACUGGGCCGCUACAGGUUGGAGGAUUGCCCAAUAUACCCAGCAGUUUUCAAGUGAAGAAUAAAGAUUUCGUUGGAUGUAUAUCUGAUCUUUACAUUGAUCACAAAUUCGUUGAUUUGAACAGCUACGUCGCCGACAAUGGAACGCUUGCGGGCUGUCCGGAGAAGCGGUCGCAGUGCAGCAGCGCGCCGUGCUACAACGACGGACAGUGUCUCGACCUGUGGGACACGUUCCUGUGCCGCUGCAACGAGGGCUACACGGGGAAGGACUGUGCUGAAUCGACGUCCCCGCCGUGGCGCUUCAGCGGCGACGGCUCGCUGUCGUUCAACCCGCUGCUGCGGCCCAUCCAGCUGCCGUGGCUCAACGCGCUGUCGGUGCGCACGCGGCAGCUCGACGCCUUCCUCAUGUCCGUGCAGGUCGGCCAGAACAGCUCCGUGCUCGUCUCGCUGAAAUCUGGCCUUUUACACUAUUCAUAUAAUGGUGAAACAAUGUUCUUACCAUCGACCACACUUGCUGAUGGUGCGUGGCAUCGUAUAGAGAUCAAAUGGUUGGGGACGGACAUAUCUGUGAGCAUUGACUACGGCCUCCGAAAUGCCUUACUACCGAUGUUAGCCAAUAAAAUACAAGGACAAUAUAUUGGGAAAAUAUUAAUCGGCGGACCGGACACCACAGCUGGUCUACUCGCGUCGGAUGUGGGAUACUUCGAAGGAUGUAUUCAGGAUGUACGCGUGGGAACAGCACAGUCUUUAUUGAAUCGACCUACGGUCAGAGAGAAUGUGAGAGACGGUUGCCAAUCACGAGCUGACUGUAUGCUGUCUAUUUGUCCACCUUAUAGUAAAUGCGUGUCGGCGUGGGAUACUACGGAGUGCAUUUGUGACAAGGGUCGUAUAGGCUCGCAGUGCGUAGCCAGCUGCGACCUCAACCCGUGUGGUGCGCACGCGCAGUGCGUGCCCGACGACACGGAUAAGGGAUACCACUGCACGUGCGACGACGGGUAUGUAAUGACAGCGUCGGGCUGCACGGCGGAGUCGCGCCAGGAGUGUCCGGGGGGGUGGUGGGGGUCGCGGCGCGGCGCGUGCGGGCCGUGCGGCUGCGUGGCGAGCGGCCUGCACCCGCACUGCGACGCGCGCACCGGGCGGUGCCGGUGCAAGGAGAACCACUACCAGGCGGCGGGGUCGGAGCAGUGCACCCCGUGCCAGUGCUACGCGGCGGGCUCGCUCAACGGCUCGUGCGCGCGCUCGGGGCAGUGCUACUGCCGCAGCGGGGUCAUCGGCCGCGCCUGCGACUCGUGCGCCAACGUCUACGCCGAGGUCACGCCCAGCGCCGGCUGCAAAGUCGUUUACGAUGGUUGUCCGAGAUCCUACGCCGGUGGCGUAUGGUGGCCACAGACCAAGUUUAGUAUUGAAGCAAUUUCUGAUUGUCCAACAGGCUCAAGCGGCAAAGCGACACGUAUGUGCGAUGAAAAGCAAGUUAUCCCCUGGCAUGAGCCAGAUAUGUUUAACUGUACAACUUCUACUUUUUACCAAUUAAGAAAACAGCUGCACAAGAUAGAAACAGGUGAAUUGCAAGUGAAUACAUUUGUCGGUGUUCGAUUAGCGGAAGAUCUUGCAACAGCUUGUGAUAAUACGCCAAAGUUGUAUGGAGCUGACGUGCUGGUAGCGGAAGGUAUACUGUUGGAACUUAUACAAUACGAACUGCGUCAAGCGGGUUUGAAUCUUACGCACAGUCAAGAUAAAGAUUAUGUUCGAAACAUUAUAAAAUCCUCUAAUACAAUCUUGAAUAAUGGCUAUGAAAAAGAAUGGCAUCGCAUUAGAGAACUCACUGGGCGAGGCGUAGAACACUUAUUACAGCAGUUCGACAAGUACAUAGCCGUUCUCGCUGAGAGCCAACACGAUACUUACACCAGCCCUGUUGAAAUUGUUACAUCAGAUUUAGCGAUUGGAGUGGAUAUUGUUACAGCUGAAUCCAUUUACGGAUUUGAACCCACAACGUUAAACCGUUAUGGGGAUUCAUACACAACUGAACGAGUAGUCCUACCAGACACGUCAUCUUUUAUACAUUCACCUAUACAAACACCAGGAUAUUAUGGCAUUAAAGUAAAGAACAAAAAACCAUCGAGUCCCAGCGUAUCCUUCCCAAAGUAUAACAAUUUUGUGAAGAGUAAAAACAAGUUUGAUAAGUUUUCGCGAGUUCUACUGCCUUUGGAUUUAAUUGGAAUUAGUAAUAAUCAAGAUAACCUAGAAACAAACUACGAGUCUCGCGCCGUUUUCUCCUAUUUGCAAUAUUCUCGUAACACGUCACACUUAAUGCCGUUGCGCAUGGACGAGUCGGUCAGCCGACGUUGGGGAGUUAACAUAACAGUGGGCUCGCCCAUACUACAGGUGGCGUUGUUCGUGCCCGAGUACGUUUGGUACAGGGAGACGAAAGAGAGCGAGGAUAAUUCGGAAAAUAACAUUGAAGAUAUUGAUGGGAUAAUGUAUACUAACAAAGGACACACGCAUCAGAAUCACAUAAACAAUCACAUCACAAAUGAUAUACAGACAAAACAUAAUACUUGGCCUCAAUCAGAAGACGAGAAUUCCAACCAAGACAAUCACGGACCAGUUGUUAUUCAACCAGCUUACAAAAAACAAGAGAAGCCGUACAUCAACGAUAAUUUCCAAGAAAACGAUUCAUCGUAUGUCGCUGAAAGAUUAGAAAGCUCUGAUGGACCAAAAGUAAUGGCUCUGAUUAAGGAAAAUGACACUGUCAAUAAAGAUGCAAAUUUAACCAAGGAAAUCGGAAAAAAGAAGUUGAUAUACAAAAGCUUGAAUGGAGUGAGGUUAAAGAAACCGAUUAGAUUACAGAUUUGGCUUGAUAUCAAUAGAGAGACAUUCGGUUCACGAACUAAUCCCCAAUGCGUUCAUUGGUCCACAUUACGAGGGGCAGGGGAAUGGUCACGCGUUGGUUGCCACACCGAGAUCGACUACGACUGGUCUCCGUACUCCGACGAACCUCUGCUCAUUAAUUGUACUUGUAACCAUCUUUCCACUUUCGCUGUUCUCGUCGACGAAGUGGAUAUUGAGUUCAUCCCGGAGCCGUCCCUCCUGGAAUCAGUGACAUCAUACACCGGGUUCAGCAUUUCGUUGCCGCUGCUGGUGUGGACAUGGGUGGCGCUAUGCCUCAUGCGUGGUGGAGCCGCCACCGUCUCCAACUCCAUACACAAGCAUCUUAUCUUCUGCGUGUUCAUGGCUGAGCUGCUGUACUUGAUAGCUCUAAAGGCGAGGAGUUCUUUAGUUCAAAACGAGUUCGCGUGCAAGGUGGUGGCCAUGGGCCUGCACUACUGGUGGGUGUCGGCGCUGGCGUGGGCCGCGUGCGACGCGUGGCAGCUGCGGCGGCUCGUGCGCGAGCUGCGGGACGUCAACCACGGCCCGCUGGCGGCGCAACUGGCAGCCGCGUACGCCGCGCCCGCCGUGGCGCUGGCGCUGGCCGCCGCGCACCACCAGCACCAGUACGGGAACGCACUCUUCUGCUGGGUGAGCUGUCACGAAGCAGUGGUAUGGUGGGUGGUCAUUCCGGCUGCGAUAUACGCGAGCGCCGCCCUCGUUUUCCUGGCGGGCGCUACGCGAGCUGCUUUUACCGUGCGGGACCACGUCAUUGGCUUUGGAAAUUUGAGGAUGCUGCUGGCGGUGAGCGUGGUGUGCCUGCCGCUGCUGGUGUGCGCGUGGGCCAGCGCGCUGGUGCUGGGCAGCGAGGCGGGCGCGCGGCGCGACGCGCUGAGCUCGGUGCUGGCGGGCGCCGUGGCGCUGCACGCCGCCGUGGCCGCGCUCGGGUACAUCGCCUUCAACGUGCGCGUGCGGGACAACCUCAAGAGAUCGAUUUUAAGAUGCUUAGGGAAGAAAGUACCACUCGCGGAUACGUCUGUUAUAAUCAGCACGAGUGCCCAAAAUCUCUCGCAAGUUAACAGAUCUGCGCUAGCCUACCACAGCAGCACCGAACCGGGUCGCCAGAUGCGCAACAUUGGAAUAUCAGCUUCGUCUACCACCUCAAGGUCCACAACGAAGACGAGUUCCAGUCCUUAUAGUCGCAGCGACGGUCAACUUCGUCACACAAGCACAUCUACUUCUAACUACAACACGAGCGCAAGUGACAUGCCGGCUUAUUUGAGAGGAUUUGAUUCUUCAUUGACCACGAGAAAAGAUGACGAAAGUCGCCGUCGCCGCAAGACCCGCGGGGACACGGAAGUGGCGACGGAAGGCACGGAGGGCACGGACAGCGAGAGCGAGGCGUCCGCGCGCAGCCUCGACCUCGCCUCCAGCCACUCCUCCGACGACGAGGACACCACCUCGCGCCGCUCCAGCCACCCGCCCUCCGCGCACCGAGAUCGAGGUCCUAAUAACACAGGAGGAAAUUACUUACCAAAUAUUACAGAGGGAGCUCCUUUGGCUAUUGCGCCGAGAUGGCCUUCUCAUAUUAGAGAUGAAACCAAUCGACCCGAAAUGAGUCGUUGGUCACAAGAAACUGGUUCAGAAGAAGGGAUGAACCCUGGACCGGCCACACCGUCACCGAAUCCUCUGCCGAAUCCCGACUUAACAUCAGACGUGUACCAGCUCAGUAGACAUCGACUUAAGCCUUCAAUAUUGGAAAAUGUUCAUGACACGUAUGUUGCCAGUGUGGAUGCAUCAAGGUUACCGCUGGAUAACAGAUACGGAGUAAUGGAUGACGAGUUAAUGUACGGAGUAAUGCCAAACGAAACGGAGAAGCAAGUCCCGUACGACCCAAAUUACCCAAUAUCCCCGACAAUGUACAGAUUACCAACGAAUCCCUACGGUUCAAAAACGUAUUUAUCAUCUCGGACGUCGGAUUACGGAUACAGCCCAACUAAAUAUUUAAACACUGACCCCGGUGUGUACGGGUCUCGAGAUUUCCGAGAUUCGACGGUGACCACGAGGGAGCACGACGGUUACCCUCCACGAGAUUUCCGAGAUUCCGGUAUCGCCACCAUGCUGAAGAACGAUUAUCAGAGGAAGAUGGAAGGUCAUUAUGAAUACAACGACAGAAUGUCGGACGGCUCGGAGAAACAUCACCCACACGACAAAUAUCUCUUUCCGUAUACAGCGGAGGAAGACCAUAUAACUGUGCGCGGUGCGCAGGCGCCUCAACGACUCAACAGUGAUGUACACACAGGCGAAGUUCAACAACAAAUGGGAGCGCCACUAGCCAGUAUGGGAGAGACUAGCGAAUGGUGGAGGUUGUAUGAGAAACACUCAUUGUAAAAUCAUCUUUUGCUUUGCUAACCGAUGGUGUUGCCGCGCGCGAAAUCAUCCACAAUCACCGUAGGGAGGAGGAAAUCUACUACUGAAGACGAUGCAGAAACGAGAGUGUAAGACCACAUAGUACAAGAUUUCCAAUGAAUCUCAAUUAGUUAUUUUAAUUUAUUUCACUAUCUAAUUGUAAAAUAUAAUACAUUUAAUAAAACUGUUAGCUGUUACUUCUGCAAAGACUGUCAAAAUAACUCAGUGCUCACUGCCAUAAAGUAGCAUAACGGCUGUUUAUUUUUAAAUAUAUUGUCUAUUGCUUUAAGUAGAAUAAAAUUCGCUAUUAUAUUAAUUGUAGAUUAUUUUUACUUCAUAAUUUUGACAUCCACCUUUGCAUUAAACUGCUCAAAUAGUUAGAAAAUAUAUUGUAAAAAGGGAAUCAUAACCUCAAAGAUCUCAAAAUUAUAAUAUAUAUAUGUAUUGGUCAAAAAAAGUAAAUCAAAUAAUUACCUAUGAGAAAAAAGUGUAAGUAAAAUAAUUCGAUCGUUAGAAUUUGAAAAUUACGAGUUAUAUAAAAUAUCUAUGUAAAGUACGGAAUGUAUUCAAUUAUUAUAAAAUUUAAUUAAGAUUAUAUAUUUUUGCAAAUUAAAAGAUUGCUUUAGAAAACUCUGGCUUCUUAGAACUUUCUAAUAACGUGUCACCCAAAGUCAGUUGUAUAUAGAGUAAGUUAUAGAUUUAGAUAUUUAGUGUAGUUAUAUACGAGAUGUGAAAUAUUUUUCUAUAAGAUACCAAAACUUAUUAAUUGUAAUAAAUGUUCAAUAAUUUCGAAAUUUUGAGACACGCGUAGUUAUUAAUAAUAGCUUGACUUGAAAUUAGAUAUAGUUUUAGACUAAAUAUUUGCAAUGUAAAUACUAGGUAUACAGUUCUGUCGAGUGUUGUGUGCAUUUUAAGCGUUUAACGAAGAGUCCACCUAUUUUGUAAAUAAAUAGACUUUUACACUUUGUAGCUAUUAAGUACCUAUGGGGCGAUUUGUAUAGGGAAAUAUAAAAAAAAGCUUUACUUGAUUAUUCCCUAACGUCUUUAUGCCAUAAUAUUCAAAUGAUUUUAUAUUUUGUGUAUCAUGUAUAUUUUAUAAUAACAAAUUGUCUAGAGUCUAUUGCAUGUCUACCUAUCAAUUAUUUUGUCACGUUAAAAUUGCAAAAAGUAUUUAAAACAUUUAACUUUAAAAAAACACUUUCGUCGGUACAGUAUAAUAUUUGAAACAAAAAAAAAAGGAUAAAAAGAAGGCAAAUUUGGAGAUGAAAGGUAAAAGAGAGGAUAUUUUAAGUAUUAUUAUGAUCAAAUCUAGUAGACAUGCACGUUGUUUUGGACUACAAGCUCAGAUGCUUUUUAAUUAUCAAUAAUCAUAUAAUCAACGCAUUAAAUUCCUCUAUUAGGAUUGUUUUCGAAGUUGUCAGCUUUUUAGAAAACGUGUUUUAUGUACACUUAGUAUAUGAAAAUGUUUUACGCUUAUUUCAAAAACUUUACAUUCCGCUUUGUGAUUUUAGUCUACAUUCUCAUUUACAGAAAUCAUUUAUUGUAGAAGUAGUACAAAUGUAGCAUCUGAACUGUUUUAUAUUAUAAUAAAAUAUUUUAUGGCUAAAA